Molecule: long non-coding RNA, 2684 nt
Filed under: Sus scrofa (pig)
Lineage: Eukaryota; Metazoa; Chordata; Mammalia; Artiodactyla; Suidae
Description: lncRNA (ENSSSCG00000057237.1)
Source: RNAcentral
UAAUGAUGGAUCUCUAGCCAUUGGCUUUCUUGCCGCUGAGGUUUGUUUUAAUACGCCAGUUGACAGUUAUAAAAUGGCAAUUCUGGAAGUCCCAUCCAAGGAUUGCUAUGUAUUAACACAUCAUUAAAAUGGUACAUGGCAAAGUCAACAUACAAUUAUAAUUGUUGACCUAUCAAAUACUGAAAGUUUUGGAAACCUCACUGGAAGCCAAAUGCUGUGUUAUUACACUGGGAUUCCAUGAAAGGAAGAGUGUGUUGCAAAUGGUUUGAUGUGUUAAUGGUUUUUAUCAAUAUUGUUUUUUUACAAAAUAAGUAGAUGGUGUGUCCAAAUAUAUUAUAAUGUAUUCCAUUUUUAUUCUACAUAUACCUCAUGGACAUAUGCACACACAUAUAAUGCAUACAUGUGAAGUGUAACAUGUGGUCACACUUGGGACAAUCUAUUGUGACCUAUAUAAUGGCCCAAGAGCUAUUCAGCAGGGUCCCUGAAUCCAUAACUCUCAAUUAGGACAGAGGCUCCCAAGGCAGCUGCAACACCCAUCUGAAUGUAUAAGUUAUGCUUUAUAAAACUUAUAUCAUGACUCAUACAUUAAACAAUCAUUUUAUAGCAUAAGCCAAUAACCUUUUUAUUGAGCAGUGUAGCCAUUGCAGAGUGGAGGGACAGAUGAAUGAUGCAUCCUCAGAGCCUCAUAACAAUGCAUCCUUGUACCUUCUCUUGGCAAAUAGUGGCUCUGCCCAAGUGUGGCAAAGUAUUUAAGCCAAUUCAAAAUUAAUAGGGCUGUUGGUUCUGAAUUCAGGAUAAACAAACCUCUGCCCAAGGAGAUAUUGGAUCUACUAUCUUUCAGAUGGGUUACCCCAGCAAAGCCAAGUUCCCUUGUAAGCACCUCAAGUGCAUCCUGUGCCUCUGACACUGCAUUGGUCACAAAAGUCACCUCAUAAUGACAUCACCUGAGCUUUCCAAGCAUCUGAAGGGGUUGGAGCAUAUUGAAUAGUUCUGAGUGGUUUUCUCUGUCUAGACCAAGCUCCCUGACCAUGGUGGUUGGAAAUCUGUCUGCACAUGGCCAGUGGCAGAUAUAAGCUAGACUUUUCUGUGGCUAUUUUAGGAUAUUCAGAGAGAGAGAUCAAAGAGUAUCACAUGUUUUAAAGAAACAGGAAGUCAUAGAGCAAAAUCAAAUGGAUAAGGGAAAAAAAAAAAAAAACAGCAACAAGAAGACUCAAAAUUGAGAGGCAAAGUCGAAAAAGAACAUGAACAACCCAAAACACUGGAUAAACUCUGGAGAUAAAGGAACCAAACAGAGGACUCAUGAAUUGGAAGGUAGCAUUGAAGGAUUUAAGCCAAAAGGCAGUACAGAGGAACAAAGGAAUUUUUCAAAGGAAGUUUUUAAAAGUUAAGAAAGAGUGAAACAGCUUGAAAGUUAUCCACUGAAAGGCUUCGCAAUAAGCAAUGAGAUCCUGCUGUAUAGCACAGGGAACUAUAUCUAGUCACUUCUGAUGGAACAUGAUAGAGGGUAAUGUGAGAAAAGAAUGUACAUAUAUAUGUUUGACUGGGUCACUUUGCUGUACAGCAGAAAUUGACAGAACAUUGUAAAUUAACUAUAAUAGAAUAAAAAUCUUUUUAAAAAAAGGAUAAAAAAUAAUAGCUUGCUACAAAGAAAGCAAUAACUAUAAUGCUGUUUAUGUGAGGUAAACAAUCAUUGCAUUGUGUUUUAAAGAAUAGAAAAUGUAGCUAGAAGAACUGGUUUCGUUAUUCACUUAGCUCAUAUCUUUAAAACUUCAACACUGAACUGAUGCUUAAAAAAAAAAGAAAGACUUCAAAAAGAGUGAACAGAAUAAAUAGAGGGAAAUCCACCCUUCACUCAUCAUAGUGAAGCUACGGAAAUCGAGAAUGAAGAAGAAAUCUUAAAGCAGCCAAAGAGAAAAAAACAGAUGACUGCAAAGGAACAACAGUCACCUGACAGCAGAAGCCUGGAGUCACACCUCUCGAGGGCUGAGAGCAGCCACAGCCCUGCAUUGCUGUCCAUCUCCCAUUAGUGUUCCGUGGCACACUCAGGGGCAAGCUCAGGCUGUCUUUCUCCAGAAUCUCCCAUAACAGACAGGGAUUGAGCUUCAUGUUCCUGGCCCUACCAUCCAUCCUGUCAUAUAAAAGCCAAAGCCUGAGAAUCAACCCAUAGCCAGAACAUCCCCAAGUCAUGUCACUUUCUGUUUCCUAAGUUCAGUCUGUCCCUUGUCCCUGGCAUCAGGGAGCACUGUUCUGCUUCAAGCCCAUUGCAGCAGCCUCUUGGCUGGCCUUGCCUCCAGCCAGCACACCAAUACUAAAGUGACUUUUUGAAGACCAUGUCUAAGAGGGGCUCCCUUUACUGCUUCCCGGCUCAAAGCCCAUCCCUGGCUCACCUCAAAACAGCCCUGUCCUGUCCCGCUCCCGCACCCUGCCCAGGCCUGCCUGUGGACCCCCAAGUCAGACUUGUAAGGAGUUUCUGUUGUGGCUCAGUGAGUUAAGAACCCAACUAGUAUCUGUGAAGAUAUGGGUUCGAGCCCUGGCUUGGGGGGUUAAGGCUUUGGCAUUGCCAUGAGCUGUGGUGUAGGUCAUAGACACAGCUCGGAUCUGACAUUGCUGUGACUGUGGUGUAGGCCAGGAGCUACUGCUCCCGUUGAACCCCUAGCUUAGGAACUUCUAUAUGCCACGGCCCU